GUGGCCAGCAGCCGCGGUAAUACCGGCAGCCCGAGUGAUGGCCGAUCUUAUUGGGCCUAAAGCGUCCGUAGCUGGGUCUGAAAGUCCAUCGGGAAAUCCACUCGCUCAACGAGUGGCCGUCCGGUGGAAACUCCACACCUUGGGACCGGAAGGCUCGAAGGGUACGUUCGGGGUAGGAGUGAAAUCCCAUAAUCCCGCACGGACCACCGAUGGCGAAAGCACUUCGAGAAAACGGAUCCGACAGUGAGGGACGAAAGCUAAGAUCGCGAACCGGAUUAGAAACCCGUUGUAGUCC
RNAcentral lists this ribosomal RNA (295 nucleotides) under uncultured bacterium. RNAcentral's name for it is "partial 16S ribosomal RNA". It matches the Rfam family "Archaeal small subunit ribosomal RNA", at positions 455 to 747 of the family's 1478-position model. The record is from RNAcentral.